AGCUUGAUGCAGGAAGAACUUUGAAAUAUUUGGUAGAGCCACAUGAGACUGAUCAAAAUAUUCACCCUAAGCACACAAAAGAGAAGUGUUAAGAUUUGCCAGAGAUGGGACUCACCUGCAGCAGAACAUGGCUUUGACAGAACUUGGGAGACCCUUCCAAUGGAAGGUGUUUUGUUCACAAAGCACAGCCACUUUGGAGACCUUGAUCCAAUUUCUACAACAUAUGAAAAUCCUUUUCCUCAAGUCACCCAUUCCUGUCUGUUGACAGCACAGUCAAGACUGAGUGUUUUAUAGCAGUUCCUCAGUGCAAGUGUGCGGCACGACUUGAAGUGGAGCUCAAGUUAACUCAUCUGCUUAACUGUUAAGGUUUUACAGCAUACUUAAAUUUUCAUUGAACUCCUACUUCACACCAAACUCAAUCAAAGGAUCUUCGGGAUAUACUAAAUACACUUUGUGUUGCUUCCCAGUGGAUGCUUGGCAUCAGAAGAAUGGGAUUGCCCUUGUUCCUGUUGCUGCAGACUCAUGAUCUGGACCCCAGGACUCGAGCAGGACCAAGGGACCAUGCAAGUGGUAAGAAGCUGGAUCGGCUUUCUUCAUCUGCUCACUGCCUUCACAGAAUUUGCAAGUGUGAAAAAGUGUUUCAUCCCUUUACAGGAUUAGGGAUGUGGAUUUGCCUCUCACCAAGGUGCUGCUGGAGAGUGUCUCCAAGACCUGAUUUAACCUGAAUCAUGUACUUCCUCAGGAGGUCUGCAGCAGGGCUGGAGGACUGCAAACACUGUAUCCCUUCCCUCCUGUCACCUGCUCCCACAUGACUGCAGUGCCUGUGCUGUGCUCUCAGCUCCCUCAACCUGAAAUGUUCCUCGUGAUGGUUUGUACAGAGCUGCCUUGGAGCAGGCUUUGCUUUUGGUGGCAGUAUCCCUUGUUGCCAUGUCAUUCAUGAAGAAGAUGGCUUUAUCCUUGCCUUUAUUCCACUGGGACCAGCUGCUCUACCCACAGGCACCAAAAGUGGCAAAUCUUCCAUAACCUUUUUUAAAGCUCUAUAUCACAUGAACUUCUUGGGGGUUUUUGAGAGGUAAAGAUUUUUUUCUUUUUUUUCCCUAGAAACAACACCAAAUAAAAACCCAAACACCAAAACCCAACAAACCCAAAACUGACAGGAAAAAAAAAAAAAAUUAAACCCCCACAUUGAACCUAAGUUGGAGAAAUAACUGCAUUGUGUGACUGAUACAGUCCAUGGGAGUACAAAGCAUUCCCAGUCUGGUCUUGCACAUCCACUCCCUAUACCUAUUAAUAGCUUUUAGGCAUGAGCAUAGACAUGGAGAUGGGCAGGAGUAGUUUGCCAUGCAAACAUUUAUCUGGAAGCUCCAUAUUUUCUGAACUAAAUUAAAGAUUUCAGUGUGAUAAAGUGGACAUUUUAAUGCAUUGGAGAUGGGGGGAUAACUGCACUUAAACUGAGGUUGGAUUAGGCAUUCUCAUAUCUUGGAGUCUUCCAGUAAAUAGCAAAAUAUAUGAGCAAGGGAAAUAUGUCUUUCUUAAUCUAUAAAAAGAAAAGGACAGUUUUGAAAAUCCAUCAAUCUUUGAAAUCUUAAGGCAUAUUGAUCCUGAAUCAUGGGAAUUCAACAGGGGUGUUCUUGUUAGUGAUCUAAAAAUAUAAAUGUGGUUGAAUACAUGGAAAAAUGUAUCUUAUUCCAGUUGUCUUUAUUACAACAAUAAAUGAUACCAACUCUCUCUUCUACAGACUUUAUCUCAUCUGUUUAUAUUUAUUUUGUUUUGAGCUGAGAAACAAAAUACCUAGAUACUGUAAGGUUGUAGAGGCUUUA
Long non-coding RNA from Oenanthe melanoleuca, 1820 nucleotides. RefSeq lists it as uncharacterized. NCBI's taxonomy places the organism in Eukaryota, Metazoa, Chordata, Aves, Passeriformes, Muscicapidae. The transcript has 6 exons. The record is from RefSeq and is a predicted model, not a curated record.